UGGUCAGGUUGAGAAUACCAAGGCGCUUGAGAGAACUCGGGUGAAGGAACUAGGCAAAAUGGCACCGUAACUUCGGGAGAAGGUGCGCCGGUUUUGGUGAUGGGACUUGCUCCCUAAGCUGAGGCCGGUCGAAGAUACCAGGUGGCUGCGACUGUUUAUUAAAAACACAGCACUCUGCAAACACGAAAGUGGACGUAUAGGGUGUGACGCCUGCCCGGUGCUUGAAGGUUAAUUGAUGGGGUUAGCUCACGCGAAGCUCUUGAUCGAAGCCCAAGUAAACGGCGGCCGUAACUAUAACGGUCCUAAGGUAGCGAAAUUCCUUGUCGGGUAAGUUCCGACCUGCACGAAUGGCGUAACGAUGGCCACACUGUCUCCACCCGAGACUCAGUGAAAUUGAACUCGCUGUGAAGAUGCAGCGUACCCGCGGCUAGACGGAAAGACCCCGUGAACCUUUACUAUAGCUUCACACUGGACUUUGACCUUACUUGUGUAGGAUAGCUGGGAGGCUUUGAAACUUGGACGCCAGUUCAAGUGGAGCCGAUCUUGAAAUACCAGCCUGGUAACGUUGAAGUCCUAACUCAGGUCCCUGAUCGGGAUCGAGGACAGUGUGUGGUGGGUAGUUUGACUGGGGCGGUCUCCUCCCAAAGAGUAACGGAGGAGCACGAAGGUACCCUCAGCAUGGUCGGAAAUCAUGCAAUGAGCGCAAGAGUAAAAGGGUGCUUGACUGCGACACAGACACGUGGAGCAGGUACGAAAGUAGGUUCUAGUGAUCCGGUGGUUCUGUAUGGAAGGGCCAUCGCUCAACGGAUAAAAGGUACUCCGGGGAUAACAGGCUGAUACCGCCCAAGAGUUCACAUCGACGGCGGUGUUUGGCACCUCGAUGUCGGCUCAUCACAUCCUGGGGCUGAAGCCGGUCCCAAGGGUAUGGCUGUUCGCCAUUUAAAGUGGUACGCGAGCUGGGUUUAGAACGUCGUGAGACAGUUCGGUCCCUAUCUGCCGUGGGCGUUUGAGAUUUGAGAAGAGUUGCUCCUAGUACGAGAGGACCGGAGUGAACGAACCUCUGGUGUUCCGGUUGUCACGCCAGUGGCAUUGCCGGGUAGCUAUGUUCGGACGGGAUAACCGCUGAAAGCAUCUAAGCGGGAAGCCCCCUUCAAGAUGAGAUCUCACUGGACCUUUAAGGUCCCUAAAGAGCCGUUCAAGACUAGGACGUUGAUAGGCUGGGUGUGUAAGCGUUGUGAGGCGUUGAGCUAACCAGUACUAAUUGCUCGUGAGGCUUGACCAU
Molecule: ribosomal RNA, 1282 nt
Filed under: marine metagenome
Description: bacterial LSU rRNA
Rfam family: Bacterial large subunit ribosomal RNA
Source: RNAcentral